UACGGAGGGGGUUAGCGUUGUUCGGAAUUACUGGGCGUAAAGCGCACGUAGGCGGAUUAGCCAGUCAGAGGUGAAAUCCCAGGGCUCAACCCUGGAACUGCCUUUGAUACUGCUAGUCUGGAGUUCGAGAGAGGUGAGUGGAAUUCCGAGUGUAGAGGUGAAAUUCGUAGAUAUUCGGAGGAACACCAGUGGCGAAGGCGGCUCACUGGCUCGAUACUGACGCUGAGGUGCGAAAGCGUGGGGAGCAAACAGG
This 253-nucleotide ribosomal RNA is filed under the name uncultured bacterium. RNAcentral's name for it is "partial 16S ribosomal RNA". It matches the Rfam family "Bacterial small subunit ribosomal RNA", at positions 524 to 776 of the family's 1533-position model. The record is from RNAcentral.